Molecule: ribosomal RNA, 431 nt
Filed under: uncultured bacterium
Lineage: Bacteria
Description: partial 16S ribosomal RNA
Rfam family: Bacterial small subunit ribosomal RNA
Source: RNAcentral
CGAACGCUGGCGGCAGGCCUACCACAUGCACGUCGAGCGAGGACUUCGGUUCUAGCGGCGGACGGGUGAGUAACGCGUGGGAAUGUGCCCUUCUCUACGGAAUAGCCCUGGGAAACUGGGAGUAAUACCGUAUACGCCCUAUUGGGGAAAGAUUUAUCGGAGAAGGAUCAGCCCGCGUUGGAUUAGGUAGUUGGUGGGGUAAUGGCCUACCAAGCCGACGAUCCAUAGCUGGUUUGAGAGGAUGAUCAGCCACACUGGGACUGAGACACGGCCCAGACUCCUACGGGAGGCAGCAGUGGGGAAUCUUAGACAAUGGGGGCAACCCUGAUCUAGCCAUGCCGCGUGAGUGAUGAAGGCCUUAGGGUUGUAAAGCUCUUUCAGCUGGGAAGAUAAUGACGGUACCAGCAGAAGAAGCCCCGGCUAACUCCGUG